RNAcentral lists this long non-coding RNA (905 nucleotides) under Pollicipes pollicipes. RNAcentral's name for it is "uncharacterized LOC119089711, transcript variant X1". Lineage: Eukaryota; Metazoa; Arthropoda; Thecostraca; Pollicipedomorpha; Pollicipedidae. The record is from RNAcentral.
GUGAGUUGUCAGGGCCAUCGGCGCAGGAUUGCGGAGAGAGGGAUCUAUAUUUCUGUAGGGUGCCUUAUCCGGUCAUUGGUCUAAACUGGCAUCAUGGAUGAUGAGGAAGCGAGUGCACUGGCUGUACUUUUGGUGGCACUGCUGUCGAUGCUGGCAUCGAUAAGCUGACAGUGAAGACAACAUCAACAGAUGAUAGCAUGGCGGAUAGCUCCCCAAAAGUUUGAAAGAGGUACCAGAGAUGCGUGAGGAGAAGGAAGGGAAGCACAGACUGGUGGAUCAAGAUCGUUCUGACAUCUGAUAAUGACACUUUCCUGGAAAACUUUAGGGUUGGGCCAGUUCUGGCACCAAAUCCUGCCACUCCUGGACCUGCCGUGGAACUAAACUGCCGGGUGGUCAUCGCCAUAUAUGUUCUCUCCACUACCAUGGAGUUCAGGAACAUCGGGCACCUGUUCGGUGUUCAUAAGUGGACAGUCUUCUCAUUCUACAGGAAGUUUGUCCGCGCUCUGAUAACAGCAUGCCUGCAUGACUUCAUUCGGCUGCCAUCGGACGAGGAGGCCGCCGCCUCAGCCCAGGAGGCCUGGGAACGGACGGGAUUCCCUGGUGUGUGGGCUGCUUCUGGACGGCACCCAUUUGCCCAUAUCGGCACCAACAGAAGGGUACCAUGACUACACCAACCGUAAAGGGUGGCAAAGUUUGACAUGCAAGCUCUGGUGGACAACAGGGGAAGGUAGAUGUAAAAUGGUGCCUGCCACAUUUCAUCCUAGGAUGAAAUGCUUAGCCUACCAAACGUGUCCGGAUGCGACAAGUUGGAAUAUCUGUGUCCUAGAAAACCAAGAGGGUUGGUAGCACUGAAUGUAACGCUGAGACCCUGUUUCACCAUUGGGCUAAUAAACUGCAAUUCGUGA